GGACGCGGCCGCCUCCCCUCCGCCUUGCGGCAGGUGGUGCGUGCCGGCACUCAGGCCCGGCCUCGCCACGGCCCCCCCGCGCGGCGCCGGCUUGGUAUGCGCCGGGCUGCGGCAGCGCGGCAAGGCGGGCGCGGCCCCCGGCAUCGCCGCGCCGUGGUAGGCGCCUCCGGGGGCGGGCUGUGGCCCGGCUCGGGGAGCGGAGCCUGCCGGUACUCGUGCGGCCCUGCGGGGCUGUCCGUCUCCGGGUCGCUCCUUUGCAGCUCUUCCCGCUUCGGCUUUUCCUUCGUGUUCGCGCAGCGCUCUGUUGGCGGGGCUGACGGACAAAGGGCGGUGUGGGAGCGGGGUUGUCGGGCUGAGCCUGGCGGGGCAGCUGCCUGAUGUGCGCCCGUCUGACUCCUGUGCCGGGGAGAGCUGUGGAGAAAGGCGAGGCUUUGUGCUUUGGAGCCCCGUCCUGCGGCCUCGCUGGGCUGUGAGGGGCCCGUCCUGUGCUGGGGAGGGCGUGGGAGAGCACAGGGAGACCAGCGGCAGGGAGAGCUGCAGGUUGGCAUAACGGCCCUGCGGGUUUAACUGAAACGAGGGGUGAAACGCCACUCUUAGUUCUUCAGUGAAGUGCUACAGCACAUAACGUUGGAUUUCUUUCAUAUAGCUUGUUAUAAGAACAUACGUUGUAUAAUCAAUGAGUAUAUAGACGUAAAAUCAGUGACAAUACAGAGAAGAAUACUGGGCUUACCAAAAAAAAGACUCCACGAGGAGCCAUCUCCAGGGAGAGACCCCUCCCCAGCGGCAGUCAGCCCUGGAAUGGGCUCUAGCAGAGGUGCAGCCUGGCUGCAGCCCUUCCACUCACACAGCUCAACUGCCUUCACCUGUGCUCCCACGGCUGACUCAGCGCUCGCCUCAGGUGGUCAAUCAGAGGUUCAGGCCGUGAUUCAACAGUUCCUGUACAUACAUCCACUGAAAAACGUGGAGUUUAUGCAGAUAAAAGCCACAUGCGUUGUGGUAACUGCCUUUUUACUUGUGUAUCUACAGGGAGCAGCACGCCAGCACUGUUUCCUAGAACCUGUCGCUUACUGUGCAGGUGAGCUCAGUGUAACUGCGUCUGUAGUUUCUCAUAAUCGGUUGUGACUGUGGCCCUUUAGAUGUGCUCUCCAAAAGAAGCACUGCUAGAAGUGUGAUGGCUUCCAAAUGUGGAAGCAUUUCUGCAGGUGUCCUGCUCUUGUCUUUUAACAAGUCUGUUCAACAGUAGGCCUAAGUUCCCUUCUGCUACCAAAAUCCAGGAAUGAAACUUGACGACGUGAAUGACAGAUUAGGAAGCAGAUAUUACUUUAUUGCAGUGCUUGGUGCGUGAGGGAUUGCUCCUCACCAUCUGAAAGCACACAGAUUUUGUAUGCUUUAAUACACAAAUAUUCAUAGGGUUUCCUCAGAGUGCCCACCUAGUCCCAGAAUUGCUAUACAUAUUAAAAUCUGGUACUAUGCAUAAACCCAUGUUAGUGUGGUUUUUUUGCAAGGGGGCCUGUGGUGGUUGUGAGGUUCCACUGGGAGGUGCUAUCCAGGUGAAGGGUUGUCUGUUAUGUAGGCCAGGUCCUGUACUUGGUCAAGAACCUAUUUACAAAACCAUGACCGUUGACUUAGUUUCUAAUGAGCACAUCAAUCUUGUUACAGUGCUUGUAUCAUCAGCCCUACAGUGUACCUCCUCAAGGCUGGUGAAAUGCUGAGGCUCUACUUUUAGGCUCCAGAAGUCCUGCUUAUCUAGGACAGAGUCUUCUCUAGACAAAAUACCAGUCGGCUGAAGAGUUUGAACUCAUUGCUAAAGGCUCUGAACUUAUUGCCAGGUAUGAAUAUGAGGAUUUAUAGGGUUUUUGCAAGAUGGGAUCCCACAAAGAUCGCAAGCUAUCAUUUGUGACUGCAGCGAGACUGUACUGCUGCAGUGGUAUUCUUUGAGGGGAACCUGAAAUCUGCUGAUAGAAAUGGUUUCUCUGCCACUAGUUUUCAUUAAAGCCAAAUGUAUCUGUGAAGUUAAUUCAUUAUCUCAUAGUAAAGAACAGCUCACACACGUAAGCUGAAUUUGUUUUGUGAAAUGCACAGAUUAUUUUGCUUACAGGGUUUUAAAAUAUACUGUCUCCAGGCUGAACAAAUGCCUAGUUUCACUGGGCCCAGGUGAGAACCAGGCAGCACAGUGCUUGGGAAAAGCUUUACCUGGUGUUCAUCAUGAGUAGGAGUCGUCCCCACCUGUGAAGCCUGGGUUCCUGAUGGAGAAGUUGCUGAUCCUCCUCACCUGUGUCAUCUGAGUGGUUUAGAGGAAUCAUGCCAUCGGACACAGAUCAGUAAUGCUUGUUGCUUGAUCCAACUGCUGUAUAGCUGAUGAAUUCAUGGAUUUAAGACAAAUAAUCCGUAUUUCAUUACUAGCAAGUGCUAGAAAUAAAAAUGUACUCUGCACUAUUGCUUGGAAAAACAAAUCCUGAAGUCGUAAGAGAGGAUUAAAGUUGGAAAAAAAUCUCUCAAGAGAAAAACGAAGGGAGUAAUGACAUCUGCUUAGCAGCAUCCAGCCCCUCAGCCUGCAGCACGGACCUCUGGAGCCCUUACACACGGAAUAAAAGGGGAUGCAGUGAGUGAGGAGCAGCAGAACUGCAAGCAGAGCAGCGCUACUGGUGUAAGAUGGCAUUAGGAAGAGUGGAGUUUUGUUAAUGGGUCAUGGAAAGUAGGUUCUACCUCUCAUAAUGCAAACUGUCUUAUUUUUGUUUCAUUUCCUUCCCAGGGUGGUGUUCUACCAUGGCAGUAAACAAAGCCAUCGGUUGCAGACUUCUGCACCAAUUCAGGUGGCUCCAUUGAAGGUGUAAGAUUGGAGGUGUGAGGUUUCUCAGCAGUGGGACGUUACCACCUAGCUGUGAGCUGGCUUUGCUCUGGUGGGCGUCCUGCUGUUCCCCCACAGUGAGCUGUGUUCUGGUUCUGUUGGAAGGCUGCCCGGUCCUUCUGCCGGGUUUAUAUUCCACUUAAACGCGUGGCUAUUCAAGUGACCAACCUUUUGGAGUGUCUCGUUUGGCUUUGCCUUAAACGUUUGCUGCUCCUACCCCUUCCCCCCUUCCUACAGAGGCCUUUUUAUAGGUGGCCUGUAGUGCCAUAUAGUUUUUGCUUAGAGUUGAGCAUUUUCCUAAGCUUAUGGGGUUAACCACGAUUAUGGGAGAGUUCUUGAAGCAUUUUUGAAUGUAAUGCUUUUAUUUAAUGUUUGUAAGCAAGUUCAAAGGUGUCAGAUACAAAUGUCCCAGUAUGGCACAAGGACGAGACGUGGCAUUGGGGAUUGGGCUGUUCUGUUGCUAGUGCACACAAAUGUGGCAAUGAACUUUUUCCCUCGUGCUUUAGAGCAUUAAAACAGCUGUUUUGGAUCAGAGCAAAGUGGGCAGCAGCUGUGGCAGUGAUCUGCCUGUGAUUAGUGGGCUCAGGCACUCGUGGAGUCACAGAUGGGCUUUGUGCUCUUAAGGGCACUGUGCUUUUAGGGCUCCCGCUUUUGCACCAGUGUGCUUCUUAAAGUGCUAAAAGUUUUCCCAGCUGGAAGUCCUCACAGCAUCACACAGCAAAGAGCUCUGGGUAUCAGCAUCCACACAAAGGCACCGCGCAGUCCGCCUGUGUUCCAAUGGGCACAAACAGCACUGAUUGCGUAUUAAAGCCAUUGUCACCAUCACAACCUGGGAGGAGAGCAGAGUGCCAGGACGCUGCAGGACCCCGAAGAUUAUGUCUUAUAAAUAAACAGCUCAAAUUUGUCUGAAGCCUCAGCGUGCGAUGUAUGGAGCGUUGCAUUCUGACCGUGUUACGCCAAGAUUGCUGCUAAUGGCUUUUGGCAGCACAGCCACCAAGUCAGAAAGCUGAGAUGAUUGCAGAUUGUCUGCUUCCAUACACAUCAUACAGCUGCCUGGAAGACGGUGGAGGCAGCGCCUAAUUGAUGUUUGUUCUUGUCAAUGCGUGAUCGGGUUUUGAUGCAAGGUUCUCCUCUUUUGUGCUCUUCUGGUCAAAUUUUCGUUUAAAUUUGUAUUCUGUGCUGAACAGUAGUGCCAGCAGAACCAUAAGCGAGGAGUUUAAAUUUAGGAUGUGUUGCAGAAAUCCAAAAAUGCUUUACUGUUUGGGUAAAAACGUUUUUGUGUUUUUUUUUCCCCUUCAGCUGCUGCUCUGCAUGCCGUAAAACAGCAAUCCGAAGGGUUUGCUCUGAAAGCAUCUCUUUGUGCCCUGGGCCAGUGACCCCACUGCUGUGCCAGUAAAUCAUGGCAAGCUGGAGGAAUCUCCCUGAUUUCUGAGCUCCUAAUCCCGCAAAGCCUGUAAAUGAUGGCUGGCUUAGCUUUGUUUCUGAUAAAACGAGGCUUAUGAGAUGAUGACAUUUGCUGCCUGUUUCUCCUCCGCUCCGUUCCGUGUCACCACCCAAGAGAUCUCUGGAGCCCAUCAGUGCAAGGCUGUGUGCCUAGUGCUACAACACUACCGCGUGCUGGAGAGCAGGGAGGAGCCUGGGUGAAUGUAUGGGAAUGAAUUUGGCUGUGUUAGCACUCCGAUCCCCUUCUGCAUGAUGUGCUUCCCCUGUUCUGCAGUGUCUGAUGCAGGUAUUGGGUCAGCCCAGUGAUGUUUGCUUCCUGGAGAGCACGCAUGGAACCUGCUGAUGGAGUUUGUUAACAGCCCCGCUGUUCCUUAAGCCAAGCUGGGUUUUUGCUUUGAUAAAACCUCUGGGCAUGGUGUGUGGCUGUACAGAGUGUGAGAACUCAGGGAGGUUCUUUACUCUGAGAGUGGCGAGGUGCUGAACAGCUGCCCAGAGAGGCUGUGGAUGCCCCGUCCAUCCCUGGAGGUGUUCAAGGCCAGGUUGGAUGGGCCCUGGGCAGCCUGGGC
RNAcentral lists this long non-coding RNA (4857 nucleotides) under Gallus gallus (chicken). Lineage: Eukaryota; Metazoa; Chordata; Aves; Galliformes; Phasianidae. The record is from RNAcentral.